Molecule: non-coding RNA, 135 nt
Organism: Triticum aestivum (bread wheat)
Lineage: Eukaryota; Viridiplantae; Streptophyta; Magnoliopsida; Poales; Poaceae
Source: Rfam
AAUCUACUCCCUCCGUCCGACAAUACUUGUCAUCAAAAUGGACAAAAAGGGAUGUAUCUAGAACUAAAAUACAUCUAGAUACAUCCCCUUUUAUUUAUUUUGAUGACAAGUAUUUCCGGACGGAGGGAGUAGUAU